RNAcentral lists this ribosomal RNA (446 nucleotides) under uncultured bacterium. Its description in RNAcentral is "partial 16S ribosomal RNA". It matches the Rfam family "Bacterial small subunit ribosomal RNA", at positions 338 to 795 of the family's 1533-position model. The record is from RNAcentral.
CCUACGGGUGGCAGCAGUCGAGAAUCAUUCACAAUGGGGGAAACCCUGAUGGUGCGACGCCGCGUGGGGGAAUGAAGGUCUUCGGAUUGUAAACCCCUGUCAUGUGGGAGCAAAUUAAAAAGAUAGUACCACACUAGGAAGAGACGGCUAACUCUGUGCCAGCAGCCGCGGUAAUACAGAGGUCUCAAGCGUUGUUCGGAAUCACUGGGCGUAAAGCGUGCGUAGGCUGUUUCGUAAGUCGUGUGUGAAAGGCGCGGGCUCAACCCGCGGACGGCACAUGAUACUGCGAGACUAGAGUAAUGGAGGGGGAACCGGAAUUCUCGGUGUAGCAGUGAAAUGCGUAGAUAUCGAGAGGAACACUCGUGGCGAAGGCGGGUUCCUGGACAUUAACUGACGCUGAGGCACGAAGGCCAGGGGAGCGAAAGGGAUUAGAUACCCCGGUAGUC